CGCCGCCGUCAGGCCAACGUCGUGCCGCCAUGCGCCUCCACUCCCUGUCUUCGCGACCAAUAGGACAGCCGCCCUUCUAUCCCUUUCAUCGCCUCACCGUGGUUGGAGCUAGCAGGACGUCCGCCGCCGCGCCGCAAGGCGCCUCAUCUCAGCGUCUUGAAGGCCAGCAGGAAAAGCCACCCUCCUCUCCCCGUUCGGAAUCACGAUAGAACAAAGAGGUAAUGAAACUCUUUUUUUCCCGACGAUACGCAUCCACCUCCUGCCGCCGCCCCGUGCAUAUCCUCCACGCCGCAGCCCGCGAGUGCCGCGCGAGCCUGCAGGAGAUCCAGAGAAAGGUAGAGAUCCAGUGCCAUGGUGAGCUCCAGCGUCGCCAACCCCGGCCGAUUCCACUGCACGGCGGCCUGAGAUGAAUUCAGCGGCGGCUAGGCCACCUCUUCCUCCGCCUAUGCCAUCUCUCGCCCCCACAAUGGUGUCACCCUUCUAUUCUACGAUCUCGACUAGAUGAUUAGCAUUCAUCUUGGUGGAAAUCAGCAUGCUGAAUCUUCGCGUUGGUUUGCUGAUUUACCUGAGCCACCCGUCCAGAGGCCAAGGCUGUGGCGUACUGUCCGUGCCGAUUUUUGAAUUUACUUUCGUUUUUAUGUAGAUUUUGUUGUCUCUUAUUUCUAUUCUCCUAUCCGUGCAAAUUUGUACACAGAAGAAUUCCUCUGUUGUAUAAUUCCUAACACUAAUCAGAAGUUGUCUAUGGCAAUUUUGGGAUUCAGCUCACUUAAAUAUGGUUGCCAUUUCAGGUACUUCUCAUGGUACGUGUCACUGCCGAUCGUGCUAAGGAUUCCUCAAAUUUUGACAACUUGAUCAAGGAGGAGAUAUUGUCACCAGAUGCAGUUACUUUUCCUGGAUAGACAAAUCAAAAAUUUGUGUGCCAACUUCCAAGCGCACUUCAUUACAGGAUAUAACCAACGGGCAAAACCAAGGUACAGAAAGUGUUAACAAGCCUCAUUUAGCUGUGGAAUUCCUUCUCAUCAGCCAGUUGUAAAGAAGCUAGAGUAUAAAAUCUCAACAUGCUCUCAGACUUGCAACAAGUAAUGGGAGGUCAGAGUGAAAAAAGUUGGCAGUAAGAAGGAUGAUACACCGCUGAAAACUUUGAAGCUUCAGGCUAAUCUUCACGUGACGCUGAAUGAUCCCUCUUUUCAUGUUGUUUUGGUCUGAGGUGUGACGCUUCUACGAUAAGAAUAUUGUUAUGUGCAAGGAAGCAAAAUAAAGAUAAGCAUGCACUACCGUUGGAAGAAGUUCAGCUGAAACUGCUGGACCGGGUGAAUGGAACUAUUAGUCUGAUGUAAGGUCCCUUCCACUUUCUCUUCUAGAUAAUUUUUGGAUGAAUACAAGCUGGUAUUUUCGGAUGAAUAAUACCAUUGUGUUACCUGAUCCAUUCACUCUUAGAGCUGUGAUCGUGCAGCUAUACAUGACUCACAACAGAGAUCUUACUUUGGAGACUUAAGUUCAUCAACAUGUAUUUUCCAUAUAUUUGCUCUCUUCUUACUUUUUGAUAUUUGAUUCUUGUAUAAUAUAGAUUUAACCAUCAUUCGGUGUGUUUUCCUGAUAUAUGAUCACUUCCCUUAUUCAAUAUAUGAGUACAUUUACCUUCUGUCUAUUUCACCUAUGUUUUUUUAACAAGCCGAAGUGUUUGGAAUGCUUCGGUAUCUUUUUGGGAGUUGGUACUCAUGCAUUUGAAUUAUGCGCGUUGUGAUGUUAGCAUGUGAAGAACCUUACGGGUAGUCUUGGAAAUUAGGUUUUUGGCUGGAGAGAUAGUUUUGUUCCAAACUUUAUAUAUUCUGUUAUUUAUAACAUCCUUCAAAAACUACAUAUAAUGGUAUACAUUUCAGAUUCAGUGAUCGAUGUUAACUAUGAAGACUCCAGAAACAUGACCAAGCCAUACCCUUUUGUUUAAUUUGUUCUUCCGCAGUCUGUGGUUUUUGUUUGACAUCAAUGACAGAAUUUGCAUGAAGUUCCCUUCCUUGACGGCAUAUAGGUUUCACUUAUGCUCUGGCUGAUGUCUUCGCUAACAUCAAGCUUGGUAUAUAGAUUCAGAGAUAAGCAUUUUCUCGCUAACAUCAAGCUUGGCAUAUAGAUUCAGAGAUUAGCAUUUUCUUCGCUAACAUCAAGUUAUAAGAUGUUAUUCAUCAUCUGGCUGAUGUCUUCACUCUUAAAUUAGUUGAGACUUAUUUUUAUCACUCUGUUGUAGGUUUAAAGUUGGUAGGGAUUGUUAGCUUUUACCACUGUGAUCUGGUGCCUAUAAAAAUCGAAUAGACAUGUUUUCAUUUCAGGGACAGGCUUGGAGAGUGCGUCAUCUCCACCUUGGCUAAAUUGUUAGUUAUUCAUUCUUUGUUGAAUAAUCAGUUUUAAGAUAUAUCAUGUGUCCGUCAUGAGAGUUACUUGUUGUAUUCUCAUGCACUUUGAUGUUCAUCAAUUAAUUAGUUUGACAAGACAGCAAAGCAAUCAAAUUGCUUCGUGUACUUUCAAAGUAGAAUAUAUAACUAUGUACAUGUACAUUGUACAACUUCCUUUUGCACGAGGAUGUCAAAUUUGUA
Molecule: long non-coding RNA, 2585 nt
Organism: Lolium rigidum
Lineage: Eukaryota; Viridiplantae; Streptophyta; Magnoliopsida; Poales; Poaceae
Exons: 5
Source: RefSeq, a predicted model, not a curated record